GAGCACAUCGUCUAAUGGAAGGACAUCGGCUUAUUAUGCCGGAAAUGCAGGUUCGAGUCCUGCUGCGCUUU
RNAcentral lists this transfer RNA (71 nucleotides) under Chryseobacterium sp. SN22. RNAcentral's name for it is "tRNA-Asn". It matches the Rfam family "tRNA". From Rfam's summary of the family: Transfer RNA (tRNA) molecules are approximately 80 nucleotides in length. Their secondary structure includes four short double-helical elements and three loops (D, anti-codon, and T loops). Further hydrogen bonds mediate the characteristic L-shaped molecular structure. tRNAs have two regions of fundamental functional importance: the anti-codon, which is responsible for specific mRNA codon recognition, and the 3' end, to which the tRNAs corresponding amino acid is attached (by aminoacyl-tRNA synthetases). tRNAs cope with the degeneracy of the genetic code in two manners: having more than one tRNA (with a specific anti-codon) for a particular amino acid; and 'wobble' base-pairing, i.e. permitting non-standard base-pairing at the 3rd anti-codon position. The record is from RNAcentral. Lineage: Bacteria; Pseudomonadati; Bacteroidota; Flavobacteriia; Flavobacteriales; Weeksellaceae.